Molecule: long non-coding RNA, 1122 nt
Organism: Eriocheir sinensis (Chinese mitten crab)
Lineage: Eukaryota; Metazoa; Arthropoda; Malacostraca; Decapoda; Varunidae
Exons: 3
Source: RefSeq, a predicted model, not a curated record
GGGUCUCUCAAGCUCAGUCGCGGUAGAUAGUUUGAAGUGAGUGCGUAUUUCUCUACACCGGGGCGUCUGAAUGGCCGCCGGGACCGCUGUGAGGGUGAUGUGGAUACUGUCGCUGAAAAGGAUCGUCGUGUAAGACAGCCAGGCGUCGACUCCUUGCCCCGCCAGGUGUGUCAGCGACGGCCGCCGCCAGCCAUCUCGUCCCCGGAGCAGGAAAUCGUAAUCGGCCGUGCAUUCGUGUUUUCCUCCGCCAGUGCUGCACGCCCACGCCGGGGUAACAUUGCCGUCCUGACCUUCCUUCCGUUAGCGGAGGCCGAGCGAGGUAUUUCACUUCCCUCCCACAGCGACGCCACGUUCCCGCAACACUGCCAACAGGAAACGCUCCAGCGCGGCCCCAGGGUCACCCUUGCCCUAAACACCUGUUGGUAUAAUGUACUCAUCGACAGUAUUUGUUUCCUUUGAAAAGAAUUGUAGUGAUGUCAAUGCUUUGGGAGAUACGGAAUAGUUUAACAUCAUCUUUAAUAUCUUUGAAAAAACUGACACAUUUUUUUCAUAAAUAUAUAGCAUCUGUCAUAUAGUAUAGUACAUUUCUACUAAACUGACUCUCCGUUGUAUAAGCAAAGUUAGUCAAUUUGAAAGCAAUGGAAGAACAGACUGAACACCAAAAGAAAAGGAAGACAGGAGGGUGCUCGAGGCAACAUAAAAGCAAACAAAAAGUAGAGCGUCAAGGCGCCUCUCCAUCCAUAAUCGAUCUCUCUUUUGGCCUCUUAUUUCUAUUUGCUUUUGUUUAUGUGUAGUACUGAGCAGGCUUUUUUGGGGGGUGGGGGGUGGGGAGGAGGGAGUCUUGCCCUUGAGAUGUUUCCUCUACUGCAAAACAUAUAUAAAAAAAGUAUUCCUUAUUUUCCACCACAUACUGACCUCCCGUUUGGCCACUCUACUUCUCUAUAGGAGCAGAGUUUAGCGGGCUUUUAUGUUGUGUUGGUUUUCUCUUUGCUUUUCCCCUUGAGCUGUUUCAUCUACUGCAAAACAUAUAUAUAAAAAAGAGUAUUCCUUAUUCUCCACCACAUACUGACCUCUCGUUUGGCCACUCUACUUCUCUAUAGGAGCAGAGUUCAGCGGGCUUUU